GGCUCAUCUGGUAUGGAGCAGUGGCAUUAAACGCCGGGGUCACGGGUUCGAUUCCCGCCGGGCCCA
Molecule: non-coding RNA, 66 nt
Organism: Merluccius polli (Benguela hake)
Lineage: Eukaryota; Metazoa; Chordata; Actinopteri; Gadiformes; Merlucciidae
Source: the annotation of a GenBank genome assembly